CUGCCUUGACCAUGCAUUAUGGCCAACAAGUAUAUAUUACCUUCAGCGGUAAGUUAUCACGAGAAGAAAGCCCCCCCAGGGACCUGAAAACAAAUGACCCAGAAUUGAUUUAGAAGCAGUGUAGCCUGAUUUUAUCGUUGUCCUAUUGCAAGGUGACGAUGUAAUAUAUGCAGGUUUAAGAUAACAGUAAAAGAAAGGAAUUUAUAAAAAUACAAAUGCAAAGGUAGUUUUCGUUGCAGAUGUGACUGAUAUAUACACUGCACAGUAACACAUGAAGAUUACUAGUUUUAUCGAUGUUCAAUUUCCUAACUAUUACAAACUUUCCGGAUCUUCUAUGUGCAUUAAUUUCUUUCUUUCCUUGCUCUUCCUCUUGAAACAUUUCAAUUUAACCUACUUCAACCCAAACUAACCAGCUUCCCACUUAUGCCUAGAUACUAUCAUCAGAAAGACUUGAUGCUCCAUAACUAGAAUUCAUUACCAAAAUUUUACUUAAUAUUUCACAUUAUGCAGAAAUAAUUAACAGGAUUGCAUGUUUUUUCUGCUUAAAGAUGAAAAGUAGAUAAAAAGAAGAGCUACAUGAUAUGUCGUCAGGUAUAGAAAGAAUAAGAAGAUUCAUAAUUAGGUAAAAACAUGCUAUAGCCUAAAAGGCAAUGACAUACUGCAGUUCCAGUGCAAAUGAUCUUACUAAUAUUUACAUGCAUGCAACCACGUCUGAAGUAGUCGAUUCGACCAGUAGUUCAUAAUCCUUCAGGUUCAAAUCGUAAGGCUUUUUAAAUUACUCUUAUUGCUGUUAUAACUAAACCCUGUCAACCUAGGAUAUAAUAUGGUAGGGCUUUCUGGUUUAUGAACAGUUCUACCCUACUUGACCAAUAAAAGUGUCAGGAUAAACAAGGAAGAAGUACUUAACCCCUAGAGUAAAAAGGAAUAAUACAGUCUGGAAAAAAUGGUUGGCAAGAAUGAAAAACCAACCUGGUUUUCCAGUCAUCAUAAAAAUAUGAUUAAACAACUAACUGUUCAAUCUACACACUAGAGUGCUGAAUGUACUCACAAACAUGAUUGUCCACUUUCAAACAGAAAUUGGAAUACAUAUAACAGUAGAAAGCGAUAGAAAUUAGAUGUAUUAUUGAAAUAAUGAUCCUAUCAAUGUUGCUGAGGCCAACUCACUACAUUCUAAACAAUCUAGCCUCAAAUUAUGAUCAAGUCAUAUGCAAGCAGGCUAUACAAUUAUAGGGGUGCUACGUACAUUGUUAGUGUAAAAAAUGUUACAUGUCCCUAGCUUUACUUGUGCUGAGAGUAUUACAGCCUUCAAUUCACAAACUUAACUGAGGAAAAUUUCAUUAAGCAAAAACUUUAAAUAUAAAAGAGAUAGUUGGUACCAUGAGAAAAUCACACCAUGAUAAUAUAAACAUAACUUAUGUGAUCAUUCACAAAAGUUCAUAUCUCAAAAUUCAAAAACUUAAUAUCAAAUUGGGAGUCAAUAAAAUAUCAAUAAAGUGAGAUUUUGUGCAUGAGUGUGCUUGUUGAAUAGUGUAACAUAAAUUAUUAAUCCCAAGCUACAAAAAGAAAAAGAAAGAGUUUUUCUUGAUUUUAUUAACGGACUUCAGAUAAAUAUGAUUAUAAUCAAAUUAUACCACAUAAAAUCAAGUAUUAGAAUGAAGCAAAAUCAAAGGGAUAUGUAUUACCCCCAAGCUUCGUCGUAAAGAUCUAGCCCCUUGAACCACAAACAACUAAAUGUUUGAUAUAACGCUUCAUAGAUAUGUAUGGACACAGAUCAACAAAACUAAGGUAAAGGCAAGAAAAGGGAGGAAAAAGAGAGUGAAGAUAAACUUCCAACUCGGGCUUGGUUACAAAGAUCUAGUAAUCAUAAACAAUAAGAAAUCUUCAUAGUCAUCACUCAUUACAAGAAUUUAAGAGAAGAAGGAAGAGAAAUGAAAUAUAACGAAUGACCGACAUCCCUCCAUGAACAUUCCUAAAGAUCUUACCUUAAGCUGUAAACAAUUAAGAAAAUUUUUACAAAAAGACUUCAUAGGAUUGUGAGGGGGCAAAGCUCAAGGAUGCAAACAAGAUCAACAUACAUUCUUCAUUGUCAAACAUAAAGCUUAGCUGAUAAACAUCCAUUAAUGGCAUAUCAACCCCCAUUUUGUUUUCUUUCGUUUUGAGGAAUCAGCACUGAUUGAAAGAAUGGUUUUUCUUGUGACAUCUCAAAGAACUGCGUUUGACUAAAAUCAAUUUGCACUGGUAAGUAACACCACCAAAAAUCAAAGACCUGUAGACUCAAUCCAAAUUAAACAAGCAACAAAUUAAGGAUGGAAAAAGGGCAGAUUUGAAAAAAAAAAUAAUUUGACAAACAAAAUCUGAAUUUUUGGACAGUACGUAAAACCAAGCCCUCAACGAGUCUCAACUCUUGAACAAAACAAAAUAAAAAAACAAAAUUCCUAGGACAUCAUGAAACCAAAUCCCAAUUCAGAACAAACACAAAAGAAACAUAUAAAAAAGAUUAAAACCCUCUGACUUGACACAAAAGAAGAGCAAAGAAAAGGGUCUAUACCAAAGUGAUGAAGACAGGCGGUAGUGAAGCCUGUAGCAAACAGACACAAUUCUGUAACCACCCACAGAUUCUUUUUAUGUGGUUUUUUUUUUUUUUGUCUUUCUUCUUCUUUUAUUUUCACUCAAACUUACCUAUGACUUUUUGUGCAAUGUGACAAAUGCAAAACAAAU
RNAcentral lists this long non-coding RNA (2718 nucleotides) under Theobroma cacao (cacao). RNAcentral describes it as "long non-coding RNA (TCAC_LNC000052)". Lineage: Eukaryota; Viridiplantae; Streptophyta; Magnoliopsida; Malvales; Malvaceae. The record is from RNAcentral.